Molecule: ribosomal RNA, 253 nt
Filed under: uncultured bacterium
Lineage: Bacteria
Description: partial 16S ribosomal RNA
Rfam family: Bacterial small subunit ribosomal RNA
Source: RNAcentral
UACAGAGGUCUCAAGUGUUGUUCGGAUUCAUUGGGCGUAAAGGGUGCGUAGGCGGCGCGGUAAGUCGGGUGUGAAAUCUUGGAGCUUAACUCCGAAACUGCAUUCGAUACUGCCGUGCUUGAGGACUGGAGAGGAGACUGGAAUUUACGGUGUAGCGGUGAAAUGCGUAGAUAUCGUAAGGAAGACCAGUGGCGAAGGCGGGUCUCUGGACAGUUCCUGACGCUGAGGCACGAAGGCCAGGGGAGCAAACGGG